RNAcentral lists this ribosomal RNA (274 nucleotides) under uncultured bacterium. RNAcentral describes it as "partial 16S ribosomal RNA". It matches the Rfam family "Bacterial small subunit ribosomal RNA", at positions 523 to 796 of the family's 1533-position model. The record is from RNAcentral.
AUACGGAGGGUGCAAGUGUUAUUCGGAAUCACUGGGCGUAAAGGACGCGUAGGCGGGUUGGCAAGUCAGAUGUGAAAUCCUACAGCUUAACUGUAGAACUGCAUUUGAAACUGCUAACCUAGAGUAUGGGAGGGGGAGAUGGAAUUAGUGGUGUAGGGGUAAAAUCCGUAGAUAUCACUAGGAAUACCGAAAGCGAAGGCGAUCUCCUGGAACAUAACUGACGCUAAGGCGUGAAAGCGUGGGGAGCGAACAGGAUUAGAAACCCUAGUAGUCC